CUAGCCCUAAACGAUGUAGACUUGGCGUCGGUGGUUUAAUCGCCAUCGGUGUCGUAGCUAACGCGUUAAGUCUACCGCCUGGGGACUACGGCCGCAAGGUUAAAACUCAAAGGAAUUGACGGGUCCCCGCACAAGCAGCGGAGCGUGUGGUUUAAUUCGAUGCUACACGAAGAACCUUACCUGGGUUUGACAUAGAGGUAGUAGGGAAGCGAAAGCGGACCGACCCUUCGGGGAGCCUCUACAGGUGU
Molecule: ribosomal RNA, 248 nt
Filed under: uncultured Anaerolineaceae bacterium
Lineage: Bacteria; Bacillati; Chloroflexota; Anaerolineae; Anaerolineales; Anaerolineaceae
Description: partial 16S ribosomal RNA
Rfam family: Bacterial small subunit ribosomal RNA
Source: RNAcentral